This is a non-coding RNA of Chelonoidis abingdonii (Abingdon island giant tortoise), 107 nucleotides long. Lineage: Eukaryota; Metazoa; Chordata; Testudines; Testudinidae. The record is from RefSeq and is a predicted model, not a curated record.
UUUCAUUGUUUUAAGAUCCAAGGGUUUUGGAUCUGUGUUCACCAGGACUAAUUGGUGAGGGUAUACUCUUAAACCUACCCAGGAAAAAGAUUAGACUGAUUUUUGUU